UGGGGAAUAUUGUACAAUGGGCGCAAGCCUGAUGCAGCCAUGCCGCGUGUAUGAAGAAGGCCUUCGGGUUGUAAAGUACUUUCAGCGGGGAGGAAGGUGUUGUGGUUAAUAACCACAGCAAUUGACGUUACCCGCAGAAGAAGCACCGGCUAACUCCGUGCCAGCAGCCGCGGUAAUACGGAGGGUGCAAGCGUUAAUCGGAAUUACUGGGCGUAAAGCGCACGCAGGCGGUCUGUCAAGUCGGAUGUGAAAUCCCCGGGCUCAACCUGGGAACUGCAUCCGAAACUGGCAGGCUUGAGUCUUGUAGAGGGGGGUAGAAUUCCAGGUGUAGCGGUGAAAUGCGUAGAGAUCUGGAGGAAUACCGGUGGCGAAGGCGGCCCCCUGGACAAAGACUGACGCUCAGGUGCGAAAGCGUGGGGAGCAAACA
Molecule: ribosomal RNA, 427 nt
Filed under: uncultured bacterium
Lineage: Bacteria
Description: partial 16S ribosomal RNA
Rfam family: Bacterial small subunit ribosomal RNA
Source: RNAcentral